Molecule: long non-coding RNA, 4568 nt
Filed under: Brassica napus (rape)
Lineage: Eukaryota; Viridiplantae; Streptophyta; Magnoliopsida; Brassicales; Brassicaceae
Description: long non-coding RNA (BNAP_LNC004965)
Source: RNAcentral
CUAAAGUUUAUCAUCGGGUUCUCGAGAUCACAGACAUGGUCAUACGCGCUGGUUCUCAUCAGUGAGCGAGUCUCCACCAGAUGGAGACCGAGAGCUACGAUGAUUCCAUUUACCUUUUUCGUUUUAGGGUUUAUGUCAUUGUCUGGAAUCGCCUUCCUUGCUCAACACUCUUCAUGGAGAUUUCUCUAUCUCUACACAGCCGUUCCCGCAAUAUUCUACUGUAUCUUCCUCUACAUAUUCGCACUCGAAUCACCUAGGUGGCUUCACAUGCAAGGAAACGACGAAGAAGCUAUUAAUGUUCUCAAAAGCAUGUCAUCCAAGAACAAACCCUACUUGGAAUCACUAGUUUCUCAGUUACCUCCGGAGCAAGAAACCUCUGAAGAGCUGCCAAGGUACUCUAUUAAGGACUUCUUCUUCCGAAAGUGGGCUUUUCGGAGGAUUGUAGUUGUUAUGAUCAUAUUGUUUGGAUUGGGAAUAUCGUACUAUGGAGUUCCAUUAGCAGCUAGAGAUAUAGACGUCAACAUAUACUUGAGCGAAACCCUAAACGCAGUGGUGGAGUUGCCUACUUUCGUUAUCACUCCGAUCUUAUUGGAGAGGUUCAACAGAAGAAGCUCUGUUCUAGUGAAUACCUUACUCGGUGGAGCCUCGGGAGUGCUUUGUUUCGUUCUCAGUCUUCUCGGGAAAACAGGGAUGGCGUUUGCGUUUGAGCUAGCGACAUUUUUCUGUGCAAGAAUCGGAUUCAACCUAAUGGCGGUUUAUAUGGUUGAAAUGUUUCCGACAUGUGUGAGAAGUUCCGCAACAAUGAUGUUUAGACAGGCUCUUGUCGUUGGAGGAGCUUGUUGUCCGCUCAUUGCUUCCAUUGGGAGAGAUCUACCAUCAGUAUCCUUUGCGAUUUUCGGAGUUGCCAUGUCGGGUUUUGAAUUGUUCGUUUUGAUUCUACCCGAGACAAAAGGUUCAAGCCUCUGCGAUACAAUGGAAGAACAAGAGAAGAGAGAUCAAACCAUAAACACUAGCCAUUGUUGAUGAAUUUAGAAGUUUAGAUUAUAAAUGCUCUAUCUUUAUAUGUUUUCAAAUAUUUGUGGUGUCUGUGUUGAUGUAAAAGACUUAUAAGAAGUGAGUUGAAGUUGAAGAUGAAGUUGAAGUAUUGUUGUGUAAUGACUAAAUAAUAUUUUGCUAUUCAUCCACAAAGAUAUCAAAAAAUUCUCAGUGGUACUACUGUUUCUGUUUUUGCUUUUUUUUUUCUCUCAGGUUUUGUAAUGAUUCAUAGCUGUAAAUGUAAGUAGGGUCUAGUGAAUACUGAAUGGACUUUUGUUGUUGUCUGAAUGAGCAGGGACAUUGACUCCGUGUUUGUUGGGUUAUGUCUCAAAAUCGGAGUGGCCUAAUAUGAAAGAUGAACAUAUAUGAUUACAUGCGUAGCUUUGAGAACAGAGAUUACUAUGUUCCGUGGGAUGUUGAUCUCGACAAGAUCGAUGCGGUUUUGGAUAGGAUUUGUGGUUCUGGAGAAGGAUGGUGAGACAGUGAAUGUAGUAACAAAAGACGAUGUGAAGAAGAAGCAAAAUAACAGAUUUAAGUGAUAGCGUGUAACAGAAUUUCAGUGAUGGUGAAAUAACAGUUCUAUACGUAGUUUUUCUUCUAUUAAUAUACGGACUACAUAUAAACAAAUAAGUUUGGAAGUUACAAUACUUUACGGUGCAGUCUGAAAGAAAGCUAAUGAAGGUCAGUCAAAAAGAAAAAGAAAGCAGAAGAAGACGAACUAUAUAUAGCAAGAUGUGUAAGAACAUCCGCAACAGCAAUCCUUAAAGGGAGAGUCCUUAAAAAACAAUAAUUAAAUAAUCAAUGGAUUCUACCAAAAGCUAAGGAUUCAACCUUUAAAAUUCCUAAAUAAAGAUUUUUUUAGUGAAUCCUUGCACUAUUUGUGCCUUUGUGUGCCUCUACGAUAUGUGUCAGCUCGUGAUUGGUUGAUAUUUUUUUUUAUUUAUCUGAAAAAGAAAAAAAAUAAUAAUUAAAAAAUCAAAAAACACUUUUUCUAAGGAUUCCAAUGGGGUAUCACCAUUGGAGAUGUUCUAACCCACUCAACAAAGUAAUAAAGACAAAACACCAUAUGAUAAGAAAAUUCAUAAUCACCUGGAUGCUGUUGAAACAUUGGAAAUUGCACCCCUACACAUGUUAAUACGUUAUAUGAGCUGUUGAAACUUUAUCUAUUACAGAGAAAAUUUUAUUAUUCAAUCUCGAAGUGUUAAUAGAAACGUAAAUUGGAAUAUAAAAAUCUAUAAAAAUCAAACAUUUACAAAAAGAUUUAGUGUUCUUCAAUAAAAAAAGUUGGCAAUGUAAUUAGCGGACCAAAGUAUAUAAAACUUGAUGAAUGAUUAGAAGCAUAUUUUAGGUUUAUCUCUGUAAAAGAGUUGUGCUAAUUUUCAGGAUGUUGGAUUGUAACGACAUUUGGGCAAUAGGUGCCCAGCAUAUUGGCUUGUUGAAUGCUACAUUAUACAUUGCAUUGUUCAAAUGAGAGUUUCAAAUCAGUAAAGAAAGACGACGUCGUUGGUUCCUAGCUCCUAACAGCUGACAAGUCUCAUCAGUUAUCACCAUCCAGAUCCACUAGAAUCUUGGUGUCAAGAACCAUCAACAAUACAAAAUUUGUGUAACCAUAGGAAUUGCGGUUAUCGUAUAGAGAGUACAUAUUUUGUAUGAUCUCCACUUAAAUUUGCUUCAUCUCAAGUGUUGCAUGCGUCAUCAGCAUGUCCAAUAAUAUCAAUAAGAUCUCUGUUAAUUAAUGUCUCUAACCAUCUUUUCAUUUUUUGGUUUUCAUAUAAACCAUAUAAUCCAAAUCUUCAUUCUCGAUUUUGAGUUAGUUGCUAACUUACUUUUUAAAUAUUGACAUUAAAUUUGUUUGUGCAAUUGUGCAUAUGAUAUUCGUACAAAUAUAAGCUAAUGACUAAUGAGUAUUGAUAUCACUUGGGGUGAAAUAAUGAUCUCUUCACUUUGAUCAGAGGUAUUUCUGUUCCUCUCUGCUGAUGUGUGUUCUUCCUCAUCCAGUCCAAAAUUUUUAAAACCAUAUCUACAAGUAUUAAUGACAAGUUAUUAUUAUGUGGUACUACUAAAUUUAUGGCAUCACCUAUAAGUAUGAACGCCACUAAAAGAAAAACAGCAAAUUAAAUUCUCAUUAUCAUAAUAUUGACUUCAUCGUCCCCACGCUUUUCACGACUCAUGGCACAUUUUGUAACUCAUGUCAAACUAAAACACGUUGAGAUUUUUUUUUAAAGUUAGAUAGACUUUAGAAUUAAGAGUUUAUUAGAGUUGGUUGAUUUAAAAGUUUGAAAUUUUGUUAAAUUUACUUAACUCUGGUAGUCUUUUAAAAAUUUAGUAAUAGAUUAAAAAAAUUAAUAAUCAAAAGAAUAUCUAAAAAUCUGAUAACUUCUUUUAAUAAGUUAAAUUAUUAAAAAAAAUAUCAUUUCAAAAUAAAUAUUAAUUUGCUAAACAAUAUUUAAUUUUUAAAUAUUACUAUAGUUAGUUGACAAAAAUAAUAAUAAUACUAUAGUUAAUUUUUUUUAAAAAAAAUUAUAAUAUAACCAAUAAUAAUAAAUUAUGUUAAGUUAUUAUAAUUAAUAAAUCAAUAACAAUAUAAUCUAAAAUUAUAAUAAUUAACAAAAAAAUUUACCCCCACUACUCUUGUUAGAAAUGUUAUAGGUUUGUAUUUAAUGAAAACUCAGAUUCAGAUUAUUAUAUAUAAGCUGUAAGAAGGGCAAUGAUCAUCCAAUCAUCCAAUAGCCAACCCCUUGAAAAGAAAAGAAAAAUCUCUAAAACCCCAAACAAUAUUAAUGUCUGGUCCUUCAGAACCAUUGUUGCUGUCUCAUAUCGGCGCCGAUGAUUCUAACGUCGACCACAAAACCAGACCAGAAGCUUUAACUUUCGACAGCAUUGUCGAACACAGUCUAUCAGAUUUUGGGUUCUGGCAACUCUUCCAGGUAAUCCUCGUUGGACUCACUUUGCUCUUCGAUGCUCAGCAGAUAUUCAUCACGGUUUACACAGACGCAUACCCUACAUGGCACUGUCUUAACCACACGAUCUGCGAUCAUGCCACUUCCGACAUCUGCAAGCUCCCAAGAUCAGCUUGGGAAUGGGACGGUGGCUCCACGGACAAAACCAUCAUUUCAGAUUUUGGACUCGAGUGCUCGAGCUCAUUACUCAGAGGUAUGCCUACCUCUGCUUUCUACAUCGGUGGCAUUGUUGGUGGAUUCGUUCUAGCUUUAAUCCCAGAUGGUUUCUUGGGCCGCAAGAAACUAGUUUUUCUCUCAACUUUUGCUACGUCAGUGACUGCAAUCUCUGUUGUUUUCUCAAUCAACGUAUGGAUUUACACAACCCUAAAGUUUGUCAACGGGUUCUCGAAAUCACAGACAUGGUCAUAUGCGAUGGUUCUCAUCAGCGAGCGAGUCUCCACCAAAUGGAGACCGAGAGCUACCAUGAUUCCAUUUACCUUUUUCGUUUUAGGGUUUAUGUCAUUGUCUGGAAUCGCUUACCUUGCUCAACACUCUUCAUGGAGAUUUCUCUAUCUCUACACAGCCGUUCCCGCA